Molecule: long non-coding RNA, 240 nt
Filed under: Trifolium pratense (red clover)
Lineage: Eukaryota; Viridiplantae; Streptophyta; Magnoliopsida; Fabales; Fabaceae
Description: long non-coding RNA (TPRA_LNC001414)
Source: RNAcentral
UGUACAUGGGUUGGGCAAAUCCGGUCGACCCGGUCAAACCCACCCAACCCAACCCAAAAAAGUGGGUUGGGUCGGGCAAGUGGGUGGAUAUGGAUUUUAAAAAUGAAAAACCCAUUAAAAAAUCGGGUUUCGGGUAAAACCGGACCCAACCCAAAAAACCCACUAACCCACUAGUGCUAUGUUUCUUGAAAUUUUUUUAUGAAAAUACUAAAGAUUUUUUCAUUUGAUUAUUAAAUAUUU